Molecule: ribosomal RNA, 571 nt
Filed under: Pseudochromis perspicillatus (blackstripe dottyback)
Lineage: Eukaryota; Metazoa; Chordata; Actinopteri; Pseudochromidae
Description: partial 16S ribosomal RNA
Rfam family: Bacterial large subunit ribosomal RNA
Source: RNAcentral
CGCCUCUUGCUUUAAAAGAAUAAGAGGUCCUGCCUGCCCAGUGACUAAGUUUAACGGCCGCGGUAUUUUAACCGUGCAAAGGUAGCGCAAUCACUUGUUCCUUAAAUGGGGACCUGUAUGAAUGGCAAGACGAGGGCUAGACUGUCUCUUUUUUCCAGUCAAUGAAAUUGAUCUCCCCGUGCAGAAGCGGGGAUCCCUACAUAAGACGAGAAGACCCUAUGGAGCUUUAGACACAGGAGGCUAGAUCUUGUCAAAUCUCUCAAACAAAAGACUGAACCUAUAGAAUUCUCCUCACAUGUCUUCGGUUGGGGCGACCGAGGGGACAAAAAUAACCCCCAUGCGGAACAGGAAGACUACCUUCUUAAAAGAAGAGCCACUGCUCUAGCCAACAGAAAUUCUGACCAAAAGAUCCGGCAAAGCCGAUCAACGAACCAAGUUACCCUAGGGAUAACAGCGCAAUCCUCUUCUAGAGACCAUAUCGACAAGGGGGUUUACGACCUCGAUGUUGGAUCAGGACAUCCUAAUGGUGCAGACGCUAUUAAGGGUUCGUUUGUUCAACGAUUAAAGUCCU